CACAUGACUCUCGGCAACGGAUAUCUCGGCUCUCGCAUCGAUGAAGAACGUAGCGAAAUGCGAUACCUGGUGUGAAUUGCAGAAUCCCGCGAACCAUCGAGUCUUUGAACGCAAGUUGCGCCCGAGGCCACUCGGCCGAGGGCACGCCUGCCUGGGCGUCACGC
This 164-nucleotide ribosomal RNA is filed under the name Thinopyrum intermedium. RNAcentral's name for it is "5.8S ribosomal RNA". It matches the Rfam family "5.8S ribosomal RNA". From Rfam's summary of the family: 5.8S ribosomal RNA (5.8S rRNA) is a component of the large subunit of the eukaryotic ribosome. It is transcribed by RNA polymerase I as part of the 45S precursor that also contains 18S and 28S rRNA. Functionally, it is thought that 5.8S rRNA may be involved in ribosome translocation. The record is from RNAcentral. Lineage: Eukaryota; Viridiplantae; Streptophyta; Magnoliopsida; Poales; Poaceae. RNAcentral also lists the same sequence under 6 other names.